GCUGGGCGUGGUGGCGGGCGCCUGUAGUCCCAGCUACUCGGGAGGCUGAGGCAGGAGAAUGGCAUGAACCCGGGAGGCGGAGCUUGCAGUGAGCCGAGAUCGCGCCUGGAGACAGAGUGAGACUCCGUCUCAGAAAAACAAAGUCAGUUAUACUUUUUCCUUUUCUUUUUUUUUUUUGACGGAGUCUCACUCUGUCGCUCAGGCUGCAGCGCAGUGGUGCGAUCUCGGCUCAUUGCAACCUCCGCCUCCCGGGUUCACGCCACUCUCAUGCCUCAG
RNAcentral lists this signal recognition particle RNA (276 nucleotides) under Gorilla gorilla gorilla (western lowland gorilla). Its description in RNAcentral is "Metazoan signal recognition particle RNA". It matches the Rfam family "Metazoan signal recognition particle RNA". From Rfam's summary of the family: The signal recognition particle (SRP) is a universally conserved ribonucleoprotein. Lineage: Eukaryota; Metazoa; Chordata; Mammalia; Primates; Hominidae. The record is from Rfam by way of RNAcentral.